This 428-nucleotide ribosomal RNA is filed under the name uncultured bacterium. Its description in RNAcentral is "bacterial SSU rRNA". It matches the Rfam family "Bacterial small subunit ribosomal RNA", at positions 355 to 775 of the family's 1533-position model. The record is from RNAcentral.
UGGGGAAUUUUGGACAAUGGACGCAAGUCUGAUCCAGCCAUGCCGCGUGCGGGAAGAAGGCCUUCGGGUUGUAAACCGCUUUUGUCAGGGAAGAAAUCUUCUGGGUUAACACCUCGGGAGGAUGACGGUACCUGAAGAAUAAGCACCGGCUAACUACGUGCCAGCAGCCGCGGUAAUACGUAGGGUGCGAGCGUUAAUCGGAAUUACUGGGCGUAAAGCGUGCGCAGGCGGUUAUGUAAGACAGAGGUGAAAUCCCCGGGCUCAACCUGGGAACUGCCUUUGUGACUGCAUAGCUUGAGUGCGGCAGAGGGGGAUGGAAUUCCGCGUGUAGCAGUGAAAUGCGUAGAUAUGCGGAGGAACACCGAUGGCGAAGGCAAUCCCCUGGGCCUGCACUGACGCUCAUGCACGAAAGCGUGGGGAGCAAACAG